UAGGGAAUUUUUCACAAUGGACGAAAGUCUGAUGGAGCAACGCCGCGUGCAGGAGGAAGGCCUUCGGGUUGUAAACUGCUUUUAAGGGGGAAGAUUAUGACGGUACCCCUAGAAUAAGGAUCGGCUAACUACGUGCCAGCAGCCGCGGUCAUACGUAGGAUCCAAGCGUUAUCCGGAAUUACUGGGCGUAAAGAGUUGCGUAGGUGGCAGAGUAAGCGAUGCAUUAAAGCUCACGGCUCAACCGUGAAUAUAUGUAUCGAACUACUCAGCUUGAGUAUGGGAGAGGUAGAUGGAAUUUCUAGUGUAGGAGUGAAAUCCGUAGAUAUUAGAAGGAACACCGAUGGCGUAGGCAGUCUACUGGCCCAUUACUGACACUAAGGCACGAAAGCGUGGGGAGCGAACGGG
This 405-nucleotide ribosomal RNA is filed under the name uncultured bacterium. Its description in RNAcentral is "bacterial SSU rRNA". It matches the Rfam family "Bacterial small subunit ribosomal RNA", at positions 355 to 776 of the family's 1533-position model. The record is from RNAcentral.